RNAcentral lists this ribosomal RNA (253 nucleotides) under uncultured bacterium. RNAcentral describes it as "partial 16S ribosomal RNA". It matches the Rfam family "Bacterial small subunit ribosomal RNA", at positions 524 to 776 of the family's 1533-position model. The record is from RNAcentral.
UACGUAGGGGGCUAGCGUUGUCCGGAUUCAUUGGGCGUAAAGAGCGUGUAGGCGGCCAGGUAGGUCCGACGUGAAAACUGGAGGCUCAACCUCCAGCUGUCGUCGGAAACCCUCUGGCUAGAGUCCGGAAGAGGAGAGCGGAAUUCCUGGUGUAGCGGUGAAAUGCGCAGAUAUCUGGAGGAACACCGGUGGCGAAGGCGGCAUCCUGGACCAACAUUGACGCUGAGGAGCGAAAGCCAGGGGAGCAAACGGG